GAGGAUUGUCGAGGUGUUUGGAACUCUGGGUUGGAAAAGCCACUAGUACUUAGAGCUUAACAAGCUGUUCUGUGGGAACCACGAAAAUAAUGCUCGAGAGCAGUGCAGAUGAUGGAGGCCGGGCUUGUGGUGUUUGCGUGGGAAGCAAAGACACCCUCAGGGCUGUUUAUAUGAUUACUUUGAAUUGGGAAUCUGUGACUCUAGUCAGCUGGAGCUGGAGAAAUUGCUUUGAUUAACAAGAGAGCAAUACUCCUGGAGUGAAACCUUUGCUUUACUGGACAAUUGACGCUGGCUAGCCGGAGAUCUUGGACAAGCCCUCAGCAAAGUAAGCUCUCAGUUUCCCUCUUUUUUGGGGGACCUGUACUGUUGGAUGUUGUGACACAACAGGUAUUUCCAGGUUUCUCCCCUCUCUGUCUUGCCUGGACCAUGGUGUGGAGGAAAGCUUUCCUCCAGGAAAAACAGAAUAACCUGUAGUUGAUGGGAACAGCAGGACGGGUGAGACCGUGGACCCAAAGGACCAUGGGAGAGAGAUUUCAGCCUCACGGCCUUUGGUGUGAUGAGGUCGCUUAAGACGCUGCAGCUGUACAGGAGGCCUUGAGUGUCUUCUCCUCGGAACCUCGGGAGGGCUGCACACUCCUUAGACACACGGGGACCUUUCCUGCCAGCCAUUUAACAGACCUGGACCAUCAAGCUGGGGAACAGUGCUGGAGCUGCUUCAGGCUCCCCGGGUUUGUCAGCUCAGGACCCACCAUGCCAUGCCAUGCCUUGGGCGGCCCAGCACAGGACAGAGGCAUCUCUGGGGCAAACAGAAAGCGAAGGUGCCUGGUUUCCUCGGUCCCAGCGGAGCAGCAGCUAGUCUGAACUAAUAGGGUUCUCUGGAGGAGGGAGAGCCACCAUGUCAUGGCAAUUGAUGUGUCCACUCUGCAGCUUUUGCAGAUGCUGCUGGGUCACCAUAUAUCUGACCUGAAGGAUUGGACAGACCCCACAGUCAGGCCCAGCCAUGCUCUAGGACCCGACUUUCUUAUAAGAGGAUGAAUUGCAGCUGC
This is a long non-coding RNA of Meriones unguiculatus (Mongolian gerbil), 1046 nucleotides long. RefSeq lists it as uncharacterized. The record is from RefSeq and is a predicted model, not a curated record. The transcript is spliced from 5 exons. Lineage: Eukaryota; Metazoa; Chordata; Mammalia; Rodentia; Muridae.